AAGCCUCUGCCCUCCCGUUGCCCGGAGGCACUGGGAGGUGGGUGAGCCACCAGACACAACGGAGGGAGGCCAGUGACACAUCAGGUCUCCCGUGCAGCUGCCAGGGCCACGAAGGACCGUCGGACGGGGCAGGUGCCCCCAGCAGCACGCUGAAGGGAGAGCAGGACGUGCGCCCGGCGGGGGCGUGCAUUGGUGCCAAAGCCAGGAAAUGGCAGAAGAACGGUUCCCGGAGGAGAGUGGCACCCGGCUGGAGAAGCCACAGAUGACCCUCGAUGGGGGUGGAGGAAGGACCCCUACCUCUCCGCACAGCCUCAAGAUGGGGAAGCAGCAGAGCAGGGAGGCUGGGAUCUGCCCAGGAUCACACAGGAGUGAGCAGCAGAGGAGGGAUUCACACCCAUGUCUGGCCAAGUGCACAGCCCAGGCUCCCAUUCCAAGAAGACCUCCUGCCUCCUUAAGCCCCAAAUAAACAGGGGUGGC
This is a long non-coding RNA of Suricata suricatta (meerkat), 477 nucleotides long. RefSeq lists it as uncharacterized. The record is from RefSeq and is a predicted model, not a curated record. NCBI's taxonomy places the organism in Eukaryota, Metazoa, Chordata, Mammalia, Carnivora, Herpestidae. The transcript is spliced from 3 exons.